Molecule: long non-coding RNA, 958 nt
Organism: Cynara cardunculus var. scolymus (artichoke)
Lineage: Eukaryota; Viridiplantae; Streptophyta; Magnoliopsida; Asterales; Asteraceae
Exons: 2
Source: RefSeq, a predicted model, not a curated record
CACUUAUCGGGUAAGUGUUUGGUAAACGACUCCUUAGUUGAAAGAUGUGGAUGGUCUUGUAAUUACACAAGAAAUGGGUGGUCUCUCUGUGAUUAUUUGAAACAAGGGUGAUCUUCUUGUAAUUACUCAAGAGAUUGGUGGUCUAUUUGUAAUUACUUGGAAAACAUGGGUGAUCUUGUAAUUACUCAAGAGAUGAGUGAUCUUUCUGUAAUUAUUUGAAACAUAGGUGGUUUAUUUAGAAAUAGACCCGUAACGCGUGCCAUUGUUUGCUUUAAAAGCUGUACGCUUCGUUAAGCCCUGAAACACAACAAAACCCUAGAGAUCCACUCGCCGAAACUGGUUAUCGCCGUCGCAAAUUCCGUAAUAGCAGCCGAAUGCAUAUCCUAGAAUGCGAAUCCGUUCAAUCUAUAGAUUCGGUAUGCAUAUAUGCUUAUGCAAAACGUGAAACAGUUGCUCAUGUUGGUGGAUUCUUUUAGUAUGCAUCGGCGAACAUCCUUUUGUUGUGAAUUUGUCUCAUUUUAAACUAUUCAUGUUUAUCCGAUAAAUUUUUGUUCUUCCUUAUAUGCUUCAUACAUAUUUGUUGUCGCAAAUCUUAUAGACUGUUCUUACCCCUAAUAAGAACUUUUUGUUAUGUACACUUCUCUUGGAUUUCUGUUUGUGUUUAAUAUCACCACUAUCUUUUUUUGGUACAAUGGUUUUACACAUUUGACCAUCUAUGUGUUAGGGUACAUUUGGUUGUGAUGUAAAGCUAUUUAGCUUUGGUUUGUUUUUGUUUCUUAUAUUUGCUUCACUGCUGUAUGAAUUACAUUAAAAUUCUCCAUACCCCAAUGAUGAAACAUUUAGUAAUCUGAAUAUGUGCAUGUAAUUUGCAAAGUGGUGCUCCCUUUUGCUUUCUAUAAGCGUAAGGUAGAGGAACUGCGACUACAUGUCAGGCUGAUACUAGGCAUUCUGAGGGAUU